GUUGGAGUUCAUUGUAGAUUCUGAACGCGCCCGAUCUCGUCUGAUCUCGGAAGCUAAGCAGGGUCGGGCCUGGUUAGUACUUGGAUGGGAGACCUCCUUUUCUUUUUAUCUGAACUCUUCUC
Molecule: non-coding RNA, 122 nt
Organism: Pongo abelii (Sumatran orangutan)
Lineage: Eukaryota; Metazoa; Chordata; Mammalia; Primates; Hominidae
Source: Rfam